UACGAAGGGGGCUAGCGUUGUUCGGAAUUACUGGGCGUAAAGCGCACGUAGGCGGAUAUUUAAGUCAGGGGUGAAAUCCCGGGACUCAACCCCGGAACUGCCUUUGAUACUGGGUAUCUCGAGUCCGAGAGAGGUGAGUGGAAUUCCGAGUGUAGAGGUGAAAUUCGUAGAUAUUCGGAGGAGCACCAGUGGCGAAGGCGGCUCACUGGCUCGGUACUGACGCUGAGGUGCGAAAGCGUGGGGAGCAAACAGG
This 253-nucleotide ribosomal RNA is filed under the name uncultured bacterium. Its description in RNAcentral is "partial 16S ribosomal RNA". It matches the Rfam family "Bacterial small subunit ribosomal RNA", at positions 524 to 776 of the family's 1533-position model. The record is from RNAcentral.